RNAcentral lists this long non-coding RNA (255 nucleotides) under Prunus persica (peach). RNAcentral's name for it is "long non-coding RNA (PPER_LNC008303)". The record is from RNAcentral. Lineage: Eukaryota; Viridiplantae; Streptophyta; Magnoliopsida; Rosales; Rosaceae.
UUUUUUUUUUUUUUCCAAUGGGAACGUGACGUCUUGUUUUUAAACACAAGUAGUUAAAUGCUAAGAUAAGGAAAAGAAAACAUAACAGUAGAAGAAAAAUAUGUAUAAUACCAAACAGUGGAAGAUAAACAUUACCAAUAUCCAUUGACAAAUAAAAUUUGAUUUUAAAAAUAGAAAAUGAUAGAAUAGUUUAUUAGCAACAAUAGAUUCACGGUAAUUAAAAAACGUCUGUUUAAAAAAAAAAUUGCAUGUUAG